AGUUCAGUCUGGGCAAUCGCUCACUUUAUUUAAUUAUUGUGGGAGGAAAGUCCGAGCUUCAUAGAACAGGGUGCCGGGUAACACCCGGGGGUCAUAAAAGAAAUUUUAUGACUACUGACAGUGCCACAGAAAACAAACUUCCCCGUGAGAUAUUUUGCCACGGUUGAUAAAAAGAUAGUGACAAUUUAUCUCACGGGGUAAAGGUGAAACGGCGGGGUAAGAGCCCACCGCUCCAUUGGUAACAACGGAGGCACGGCAAACCACACCCGAAGCAAGGUCAAAUAGGGAAACCGUUUCUUAUUCAUUUAAGAAUCAGAGUUGUUCGCUUUGGAGGUUUCCGGGUAGACCGCUAGAUUCUAUCAGUAAUGGUAGAACCAGAUAAAUGAUUGCCACCCCAUGAGAUAGCCGCCUUACGGCGACAUCUCACGGGGAUACAGAACUCGGCUUACAGGACUGGACAUUUU
This 464-nucleotide RNase P RNA is filed under the name Ignavibacteria bacterium RBG_16_36_9. RNAcentral's name for it is "RNase P RNA component class A". It matches the Rfam family "Bacterial RNase P class A". Rfam says of the family: Ribonuclease P (RNase P) is a ubiquitous endoribonuclease, found in archaea, bacteria and eukarya as well as chloroplasts and mitochondria. Its best characterised activity is the generation of mature 5'-ends of tRNAs by cleaving the 5'-leader elements of precursor-tRNAs. Lineage: Bacteria; Pseudomonadati; Ignavibacteriota; Ignavibacteria. The record is from RNAcentral.